Molecule: long non-coding RNA, 924 nt
Filed under: Ananas comosus (pineapple)
Lineage: Eukaryota; Viridiplantae; Streptophyta; Magnoliopsida; Poales; Bromeliaceae
Description: long non-coding RNA (ACOM_LNC008151)
Source: RNAcentral
AAACAAUAUAAUUUCAAUUUUAUAUGUAUAAUUUAGUCUCAAAUAAUUUUAAAUAGUAUAAUUUAGUCUAAAUAAUACAACUUCAUCUCAAACAAUACAAUACGACUUUUUCUUUUUCUUUCUUCUUUGCUUUUUGAUUCUUUCUGUAGCAAUCACGGUAUAGGAUGAUCUUCUCAGAGAAAAGAAAUAUUUUUUUCUUUCUUUUCUACCUUUUGUGUUCUUUUUUGUUAACGCGCUUCCUCCCUCGCCCUUUGCCGCAACAGCCUCCUCCCGGCUCAAUGUAUUUUCUCUCUAUGUUCUCCUUAAAUACUGCAAGACUUUCACGGCCAUUGCUGUCCAUGAUCAUGCUCUCUACUGUAGCUUCACCUUCGUGAUCUAUACUAUAUCUUAACUCGCGCCACUGUCGCCGAUGUCAAUGGAGGUGUGGGCAAGGUAGGAAAGAGGAGCAUGACGCAGAUACAAGGAUGGUGGAUGAGAAAGGGGAAGGAAAUGAAGCGAGAGAAGAAAGAGAGAAAGGGAAGGCGAGGAGAAGAGAGAUGAAGAGGGAAAAAAAAAAAAAGGGUAAACUUCAAAUACCAUCCCUGUGGUUUCGCACGUUCUCACUUUAGUACUUAUGAUUUUAAAUGUAUCAAUUUAAUACCCUGUAAUUUUAUUUUUCUUUUUUUGUCAGCCCCUUCGUUAACUUUUCAUUAAAUCAUAUAUUAAAACCUUCAGAUAUCCCACCUAUAGUUUAUCGAAUAUUCACUUUAGUACCCUUUAAUUUUAACUUUGUCAUUGAUUUAAUAAAAAAAUUAGUAAAAAGAAUAACAAAACGAGAAAAAUAAAAUUACAGAGUACAAAAGUGAAAAGCUUUAAACCACAGGUACUAAAGUGAGAAAGUACAAAACCUCAGAAGUGAUAUUUGAAGUUUUCUCAAAAAACAAA